RNAcentral lists this ribosomal RNA (253 nucleotides) under uncultured bacterium. RNAcentral describes it as "partial 16S ribosomal RNA". It matches the Rfam family "Bacterial small subunit ribosomal RNA", at positions 524 to 776 of the family's 1533-position model. The record is from RNAcentral.
GACGAACCGUCCGAACGUUAUUCGGAAUCACUGGGCUCAAAGGGUGCGUAGGCGGCGCGGAAAGUUGGGUGUGAAAUCCCUCGGCUCAACCGAGGAAUUGCGCCCAAAACUACCGUGCUCGAGGGAGAUAGAGGUGAGCGGAACUUAGGGUGGAGCGGUGAAAUGCGUUGAUAUCCUAAGGAACACCGGUGGCGAAAGCGGCUCACUGGAUCUCUUCUGACGCUGAGGCACGAAAGCUAGGGUAGCAAACGGG